GGCCCUGUAGGUACAUCCACAGCCAACCUCACAAAAGCCUGCUGUAACUAGAAGGAGCUUGCUCACAGAAGAAGCAGAAAUCCUGGGUCCUAUGGAAAUCUACAUUUCACUUUUUGAGGAACAGUGAAAUUGUAUGGUGGCUGCACAAUUUUACAUUUCUAACAGUGAGACAAAGACAAGGGGCUGUUCCCUGUAUCAUGCACCUUUGGCUCCUCCUGGUCCUUGUUCAGACUUCUGUGUUCC
Long non-coding RNA from Chinchilla lanigera (long-tailed chinchilla), 243 nucleotides. RefSeq lists it as uncharacterized. The record is from RefSeq and is a predicted model, not a curated record. Lineage: Eukaryota; Metazoa; Chordata; Mammalia; Rodentia; Chinchillidae. The transcript is spliced from 3 exons.